UAUUACAUAGGUUGGAUUUGGGUUGACAGAUUUUUGGCAACAUAUUUUCGACCCAACCCAUAUCUAGUCCAACCUGACCCGAUUGCCACCCCUUCUUGCAGGAGAUUCCCGAGUCAUAUUGCUUCAUGCUAUUGCCAUACUAUGGUUUUCUUGUAAACAAAGCCAUAGCACCCUACUUUUUGGAGGUCCAUUGGAAGGCUAUGGAUAUACAUAUACAUACACAGGUAUACAUACAUACAUACAUACAUACAUACAUACAUAUAUAUAUAUAUAUAUAAUAUAAUAUAACUAGUGGUGCUUUCCCUUUCCUGUUUCAUCUAGAUGGCCUCUCUAAUCAUUGCUGAGUAAGCAUAAAGCAUGGCUAUGGCAGGCUGCUGCAGGUCUUGGCAAGGCAUGGCUGCAGGCUGGGCAGCAGACUGGGCAGGGCAUGGUUGCUGCAGUGGCUUGGCAGGGCUGGCUGACCAUGGCUGCGGUGUUGCAGGGGCUGGCAGG
This 492-nucleotide long non-coding RNA is filed under the name Phoenix dactylifera (date palm). Its description in RNAcentral is "long non-coding RNA (PDAC_LNC013996)". Lineage: Eukaryota; Viridiplantae; Streptophyta; Magnoliopsida; Arecales; Arecaceae. The record is from RNAcentral.